This 367-nucleotide RNase P RNA is filed under the name Bacillota bacterium. RNAcentral's name for it is "Firmicutes bacterium (anaerobic digester metagenome) RNase P RNA component class A". It matches the Rfam family "Bacterial RNase P class A". Rfam says of the family: Ribonuclease P (RNase P) is a ubiquitous endoribonuclease, found in archaea, bacteria and eukarya as well as chloroplasts and mitochondria. The record is from RNAcentral. Lineage: Bacteria; Bacillati; Bacillota.
UCAGUGGGUCGGGAGGCCGCGGGUGGCCGGCCAUGCCGGCGACCCGAGGAAAGUCCGGACUCCGCAGGGCAGGGUGCCGGGUAACGCCCGGCGGGGGCGACCCCAGGGAGAGUGCCACAGAGACCAUACCGCCGGCCGGCCCCAGGGGCCGGCGCCGGCAAGGGUGAAAAGGUGAGGUACGAGCUCACCAGCGGUCAGGCGACUGGCCGGCUGGGCAAACCCCACCCGGAGCCAGACCAAGUAGGAGGGGCCCCGGAGGUGGCCCGCCUCGAUGCCCCUCGGGUAGGUCGCUGGAGACGGGCGGCGACGUCCGUCCUAGAGGGAUGGCCUCCCUCGACAGAAUCCGGCUUAUAGACCCGCUGGCCGU